This 1052-nucleotide long non-coding RNA is filed under the name Piliocolobus tephrosceles (Ugandan red Colobus). Its description in RNAcentral is "lncRNA (ENSPTEG00000006971.1)". Lineage: Eukaryota; Metazoa; Chordata; Mammalia; Primates; Cercopithecidae. The record is from RNAcentral.
AUAACAUCAAUCAAGAAAAAAAUGAUAUUUAUGAAAAUAAAAAAAAUAAAAAAAUAGAUCAAUUUCAAAUAAACACUGAAAAAAAGGAAGUUUGUUUGAACAAUUUAAAAAACAUAGAGAAUAGAGAUGAGCAAAAUAAUUAUGAAAAAAAUAACCGUGAGCAAAAUCUUGCAGAUAUGUAUGAUGUAGAUUUAAAAAAAAAUGAAAAAAAUAUGAGUAAUAGUGCCCGUUGUAAUAAUAAAUUGAUACAGAAGAAAAAAAAAAAUCUUGAUAAUAAAAGUAGUUAUGAAACAGAAGAAGAUAAUAUAUUAAAUGAUGACACAAAUUUAUCAGAUGAAGAUGAUGAAGAGGAAUAUAGUGUCACAGAAAAAGAUUUAAUACUACAAAGGUUUAAAAAUGGGACUAGUAUAUAUGUAGAUAUUAAUAACAUUGACAGCAAGGGAGGAUGUUUGAUUGUUGAUUUUUAUUCUGAAUGUUUAAAUAAAUACAAAAAUGAAUGUAAUUUUAUAUAUUAUCAAAAUUAUAACAAUAAUAAUAGUUAUGACAAUAGUAAAAAUAAUAAUAGCUGUAGUGAUAAUAAUAGUAAUAAUAACAAUAACCGUAACAAUAACAACGACAACAGCAGUCAUAGUAAAAAUGGAUAUAAUAUUAGUUAUGGUACUAAUGCAACUACUAAUGAAGGUAUAACUACACAUAAUAUGCAACAAAGUGAUAAUGUAGCACGUAAUAGUACCAACAUUUCAAACGAUAAAAGUAUUAAUGAUAAUACUACUACUAGCACUGCUAUUGUUAACAGUAGCAACGACAAUUAUCACCGUAACAGCUGUAGUAACAUGAUAAACCCUUCCUAUCCAUAUGACGAUGAUAAAAACUUUAACUUUCAAAAAAAAAAACAAGAUUCUUUAGAUCCAUUAUUAAAAUGUAUAAACUCAUUAUCUGAUCGAAUAAAUUUACAACAUUUAGUAGGCGAUCCAACUAGCUAUUUUAAAGUAGGUGGUGGUGAUAUGUUUUAUGAUAUCAACGACCCAUUUUUAGAUGAUGAAGAAAUGUAU